CGAUAAUCUGAAAGUAGAAAGUGUACAAGUGAGUACAUGAUCUUCUCUUACAUUUUGCUUUGAACUGCAUUCUGUAGGCAUUAGACAGGCAUAUGCAACAGAGAGCCACACUAACUUUUAAUAACCAAGAGUUGGGACAUUAUUAUGUCUAUUUUAUGAAAAUUGUCACUGGCAGUAUAGAAUUAUUAAUCUGGAGUUUGCUAGUUAGAAGCUAAUUCAACCAUAUUUUAUAAAUGUUGACCAGAUAAGCUUGCUACUAUGCAUGCUCGCACUGCGCAUGAACAAACUUCUUCAUAUCACAGCUGAAGGUUUAGGUUUUGUUUUCUGAAUGGGACAGCUAUAUGACUUGACCAUGGUGGAUGAUCUGUGCCGCACCUGUGGAUAUGAAACUUCUUUAAUACAUCAACCACUUAGAUGAUUCUAGGAUACAUGAGCCAAGUCUCCAGAGGGAACAUUCUGUCUAUUCCUCGUAGUUACGCAUAAAAUCUUGCUUCCUUAUGUGAACCAAGCGAAGGAACCAGUGGCUGGCAAUUUCCUGGAAAGACCGAUGAAGAAGGAUAUUGGCUUCCGUUGGAAAAAGGGAACACGGUUGGUUAGUGUGUGACACUGUAGGUGUAGCACGUCCUUUUCUUUUCGUGUCAUUAGUUAGCAAAUAUGUGGCUGUUCUUGCAUGGAAAAUUUGGAAGAAAUCCACCAAGGAGUUAACAAAUACAGUAUGUUUUUUGAAGGGGAAGCUGAGACUGAGUUAUCAGGUGCGUCCCAGUGUACUGUAUGUAACGGAUGAAGGGGAGUGAUGGGCUGUUGCCUGUUGGGGUGCCAACUGUUGUUCCCGCAAAACAAAAAAUAUAUACUGCUGCUAUUCAAAGAUUUAAGAUCCGAGUUCGAUUAUGUAUUCGUUUGUUUUUCUCUUCUGAAGAGUCAUAUCACCGUAUGGUGUAUUUGCAUGUAAGUAUGAAACACUGGUGUACUAAUUGGCUAGAUGGGGUGAAGUAUAGUGGUAAAACAAAUGAAGAUGAAAAAAAAUGUUCUUUUAUUUA
This is a long non-coding RNA of Triticum aestivum (bread wheat), 1037 nucleotides long. RefSeq lists it as uncharacterized. The record is from RefSeq and is a predicted model, not a curated record. The transcript has 3 exons. NCBI's taxonomy places the organism in Eukaryota, Viridiplantae, Streptophyta, Magnoliopsida, Poales, Poaceae.